RNAcentral lists this ribosomal RNA (1245 nucleotides) under Enterobacter asburiae. Its description in RNAcentral is "bacterial SSU rRNA". It matches the Rfam family "Bacterial small subunit ribosomal RNA", at positions 34 to 1265 of the family's 1533-position model. Lineage: Bacteria; Pseudomonadati; Pseudomonadota; Gammaproteobacteria; Enterobacterales; Enterobacteriaceae. The record is from RNAcentral.
CAAUGGCGGGCAGCCUAACACAUGCAAGUCGAGCGGCAGCGGAAGUAGCUUGCUACUUUGCCGGCGAGCGGCGGACGGGUGAGUAAUGUCUGGGAAACUGCCUGAUGGAGGGGGAUAACUACUGGAAACGGUAGCUAAUACCGCAUAACGUCGCAAGACCAAAGAGGGGGACCUUCGGGCCUCUUGCCAUCAGAUGUGCCCAGAUGGGAUUAGCUAGUAGGUGGGGUAACGGCUCACCUAGGCGACGAUCCCUAGCUGGUCUGAGAGGAUGACCAGCCACACUGGAACUGAGACACGGUCCAGACUCCUACGGGAGGCAGCAGUGGGGAAUAUUGCACAAUGGGCGCAAGCCUGAUGCAGCCAUGCCGCGUGUAUGAAGAAGGCCUUCGGGUUGUAAAGUACUUUCAGCGGGGAGGAAGGCGUUGAGGUUAAUAACCUCAGCGAUUGACGUUACCCGCAGAAGAAGCACCGGCUAACUCCGUGCCAGCAGCCGCGGUAAUACGGAGGGUGCAAGCGUUAAUCGGAAUUACUGGGCGUAAAGCGCACGCAGGCGGUCUGUCAAGUCGGAUGUGAAAUCCCCGGGCUCAACCUGGGAACUGCAUUCGAAACUGGCAGGCUAGAGUCUUGUAGAGGGGGGUAGAAUUCCAGGUGUAGCGGUGAAAUGCGUAGAGAUCUGGAGGAAUACCGGUGGCGAAGGCGGCCCCCUGGACAAAGACUGACGCUCAGGUGCGAAAGCGUGGGGAGCAAACAGGAUUAGAUACCCUGGUAGUCCACGCCGUAAACGAUGUCGACUUGGAGGUUGUGCCCUUGAGGCGUGGCUUCCGGAGCUAACGCGUUAAGUCGACCGCCUGGGGAGUACGGCCGCAAGGUUAAAACUCAAAUGAAUUGACGGGGGCCCGCACAAGCGGUGGAGCAUGUGGUUUAAUUCGAUGCAACGCGAAGAACCUUACCUACUCUUGACAUCCAGAGAACUUAGCAGAGAUGCUUUGGUGCCUUCGGGAACUCUGAGACAGGUGCUGCAUGGCUGUCGUCAGCUCGUGUUGUGAAAUGUUGGGUUAAGUCCCGCACGAGCGCAACUCUUUAUCCUUUGUUGCCAGCGGUUAGGCCGGAACUCAAAGGAGACUGCCAGUGAUAACCUGGGAGGAGGUGGGGGAAUGACGUUCAAGUCAUCAUGGCCUUACGAGAGUUAGCUUACACACACCGUUCUACAUGGGCGCUACAAAGAGGAGGCGAACUUUCUGGUGA